This 496-nucleotide ribosomal RNA is filed under the name uncultured bacterium. RNAcentral describes it as "partial 16S ribosomal RNA". It matches the Rfam family "Bacterial small subunit ribosomal RNA", at positions 28 to 523 of the family's 1533-position model. The record is from RNAcentral.
GAUGAACGCUAGCGGCAGGCCUAACACAUGCAAGUCGAGGGGUAGAAGCAGCUUGCUGCUUUGAGACCGGCGCACGGGUGCGUAACGCGUAUGCAAUCUACCUUUUACUAAGGAAUAGCCCAGAGAAAUUUGGAUUAAUGCCUUAUGGUAUAUUUGAAUGGCAUCAUUUAAAUAUUAAAGAUUUAUUGGUAAAAGAUGAGCAUGCGUCCCAUUAGUUAGUUGGUAAGGUAACGGCUUACCAAGACGAUGAUGGGUAGGGGUCCUGAGAGGGAGAUCCCCCACACUGGUACUGAGACACGGACCAGACUCCUACGGGAGGCAGCAGUGAGGAAUAUUGGUCAAUGGAGGCAACUCUGAACCAGCCAUGCCGCGUGCAGGAUGACGGUCCUAUGGAUUGUAAACUGCUUUUGUACAGGAAGAAAAAGAGUUACGUGUAGCUUAUUGACGGUACUGUAAGAAUAAGGAUCGGCUAACUCCGUGCCAGCAGCCGCCGUAA